This 6721-nucleotide long non-coding RNA is filed under the name Homo sapiens (human). RNAcentral describes it as "non-protein coding lnc-ZC3H12D-4:8". Lineage: Eukaryota; Metazoa; Chordata; Mammalia; Primates; Hominidae. The record is from RNAcentral.
ACAUUCCACCCAGCCUGACUGCUCUGGAAGGAAGAAUCCCUGCAAGGUGAGUGUUAUUAUAUCCAUUUGUGGACCAGGACUGCGGCUCAGAAGCUUUUCCCAGGACACUGAACUCUGACAGGUGAAUAGCUGCCAAGUGGUGGAGGUUGGCCUGCAGUGAGCAUCAGUCUGACUUCGAAGGACAGAAUGACACAUGGUACAAGCUUUCUGUCUUACUGCCACACGUCAGUGUCCUGGGAGAUGAACCAGAUGCAGGUGAUGCCGAAGAGGUGACGGGGCCAGGGCUGGGGCAUGAGCACUGGUCAACACUGACACUCAACAGCUCCCAUCUGGCUUGUGUGUGAGCACCCGAGUGUAGCUCAAGGCAGGGACAAUAUUUGCUGGAAGUUUAGGUGUUCCCUAGGCGUCCUAGCUAGGCAGAGGAGGGAAUGAAGAUAGGUUUUGCAAGUAGAAAUAAAAAAGAAGCACUAUUAUAGCAUGAUAACAUUUCCUAAAGUCAUUUUAUGAACCAUUUUUGGUUAAUUAAAAAAAAAAAAAGCCGAUCUAUAUGUCAUGGCUGAGACAUUGAUUAGCAAGGUGCUACUUUUACAGAUGAAAGAACUAAAAACAAGAAAGACAAUGAUUCGCGCACAGUGAUUUGCUGGAGAUUGAUUGGCAAGUGUGAGCCAGACCUGGAGUAGAAUUCAACAUGUCUGGUGCCUGCUCCAGAACUCUGACAAUGAAAAGGAGUCCAGAUUUUGAGAAUGAAGAAGGUUUCAAAAGCUAAGCCAGCUUCCCUUUCACAGAGGUUCAGCUGGUCAGGCUUCUUUCAAAUCCACGCCCUGUUACGGGAGAGCACGGUGCUAGGAGCGUGUGGGAGGGGCAGCCCUGAGCCAACACUCCCUCUAGAAAAACAUCCUAAGGCCAUAUCAUGGUGACAACGGGACAGGAUUAUUAUAUUCCUAUUGGAAGGAUCACACUGUUAUGUUAUCAUUUCCUUUAGGAAAUACCCACAUCCCCAAACUACUUAGUGAUUAUGAGUCCCUACAGAACAAACAACCCUCACCUUAGACCAAAGAAAUAUGUCUCUCAGUCAAACAAAUGUACGUAGAAUCAGUGAGCGCAAAGCCCUACCUCAAAUAAGUUCAGAAGCCCCUCAAAAUGAGGUCCCGUGAUAGAGUUUCAGUAACUCUAAUGUCCCUAGUUGAGCUAACCAUCUGGCAUGGCAAACUCAUGGGCCAGUGAAUACUCGGUACUUUGCAGAUUCACAGUUUUUGUCUCUGCUUCUAUCCGACCAUACCUCUGCCCAGCUCCCUGCAAUCUGCCUGCUCUUUUGGUCAUUGAAUGACAGCGUAUCCCAGAGUGACUUUUGGGAGCUAUUUUUGAGCUUACCCAUAUUUGUAGUUCCCCAACUCACCGGGAAUGGAGGCUGGGUGAGUAGCAGAGGAACGUGCCUAGAUGUGACAAAAGAGUGGGGUAGAUGUAUUAAAUGAAUAUUCAAUGAGAACCCACUGUACGCCAAGCCCUUUUCUAGUCCAGGAAACUCAGCAAUGAGCAAAGUCAUAAAAAUCCCUUCUCUCAUAGAAUUUACAAUUUGGGAUGUGUGUGUGUGUGUGUGUGUGUGUGUGUGUGUGUGUAUGUGUGUGUAUGACACAUACACACAUUAGGGACAGGGUGGGUAAGAUAUAAUGACUAAAAUGUGUGGAAAACUUCAUAUGGUAUAUUAAAAGAAAAUAAAAGUCCAGGCACGGUGGCUCACGCCUGUAAUCCCAGCACUUUGGGAGGCUGAGGCAGGUGGAUCACCUGAGGCCAGGAGUUUGAGACCAGCAUGGCCAACAUGAUGAAACUCUGUCUCUACUAAAAAUACAAAAAUUAGCCAGGGAUGGUGGCGCAUGCCUGUAAUUCCAGCUACUUGGGAGACUGAGGUAGGAGCAUCGCUUGAACCUGGGAGGCGGAGGUUGUGGUGGGCCGAGAUUGCGCCACUGCACUCCAGCCUGAGCAAUAGAGAGAGACUCCAUCUCAAAAAUAAAUAAAAUAAAAUAAAAUAAAGUAAGUACUAUGGGGUGAAACUAGGAAAAGGGGAUAGGAGGCUUUGAGGUGGAAGGUGAUAGCUGUAAUUUAAAUAAAGUGAUAAAACUCAGUGAGAAGGUUACAUUUGAGUAAAAACUUGAAGAAAAAGUAACAAGCCGUAAGGUCAUAUGGGGAAGAGCAUUCCAGCCCCCAAAACAGCAAGUGCAGAAGCUCUAGCUAGGGCCACCCUGAUGCCCAUUUUCAGGGUGUGCUAUUCUCAUGGUACCCUAUGUAGGUGGUGUCCACUGGGAUUGUGUUAUGAACAAUGUGCAUUGGAAAACAUGGCAGACCCGUCAUAAAGCAGGAACAGCAAGGAGGCCUGGAAGGGUAGGGGGAGGCCAGAGAGAAAAUGGAGGGCCAGGUAUUUUCAGGCUCUUUCAACUAGCUCUGCUGGAAAGCUAGCUUACUGUCCAGGGAAUUUUUAGACAGUCCCUUUGCCCAUGUCUGCUGAUACCACAUGCCCUAAAAGCAGGUAGGCUGUGUCUAGCCUUCUUGGGUUUGAUAGUUGAUAAGUGAGCUCCAUGAGGGAGAUGUACAACUGAUGUGUCUUUGCAUGGCGGUUUUUUCAAUUCUCUAGCUCCCUGAUGAAUGUGGGAAUAAAAAUUUAUAUCAGAAUCGACACUGGUUAUAAUGUGAAUUUAUGACAUUACUUGAGAAUAUUCAAUUCUGCUGUAGAGGACAAAAAAAAUGGAAUAAUGAAAUCCAUCAUAAACCCUGGGCAUAGUUGAUGAUAAAAGUGCUGGCCAGGCGUGGUGGCUCAUGCCUGUAAUCCCAGCACUUUGGGAGGCCGAGGCGGGUGGAUUACCUGAGAUCAGGAGUUCAAGACCAGCCUGGCUAACAUGGCGAAACCCCGUCUCUGCUAAAAAUACAAAAAUUAGCUGGGUGUAGUGGCAUGCACCUGUAAUCCGAGCUAUCCAGGAGACUGAGACAGGAGAAUCGCUUGAACCUGGAGGCAGUAAGCCAAGAUCGCACCAUUGCAUUCCAGCCUAGGCGACAGAGCAAGACUCUGUCUCAAAAAAAAAAAAAAAAAAAAGUGCUCUGACGUUAUAUUAUGGUGUUGGUCGCACAACUUUGUGAAUAUAUGAGAAGUCAUGGAAUUGUAUACUUUCAAUGAAUAAAUUAUAAGGCAUACAAGUUAUAUCUCAAUAAAGCUGUUUGCUAAAUUUGGACGUCACUUUUUUUUUAAACAGCUUUGUUGAGGUAUAACUCUGGUGUUAUACGUUUAGUAUUUGUUUGUUCACCUCUAUCAUAAGCUAUAUAAGCUAUAUGUCUCUUAGGACUGGGAUCAUUUUUAUCAAUUGUUACACCUCCACUUCCUUGUAUAGUACUUUUUGCCCGAAUGUUAAUUUAAAAAUGUUUGUUGAAUGAUACAUUUUAGGCUAAAUGAAUACAGUUUGCAUCAGCAUUAGGGUAGACAUGUCACAUGUAGUCCACUAACCCUCCCCAAGUCUUUUAUGUGAGUUGUUGUUAAGCCAGGGCAAUUCUAUCCUGUACUUGGGCAGAAAUUUCUUGAAAAAAAUCAAAGUUAAGAGUUUACAUUUAUUUUAAAAUUUUUAUCAUGUUAGAACCCAUCAGUCAUUUUAGCCAGUUAAGUGUUUUUUUUUUUUUUUUUUUUUUUUGAGAUGGAGUCUUGCUGUUUUGCCCAGGCUGGAGUGCAGUAGUGCGAUCUUGGCUCACUGCAACAUCUGCCUCCCAGGUUCAAGUGGUUCUCCUGCCUUAGCCUCCCCAGUAGCUGGGGUGACAGGUAUGCACCAUGUUGCCCAAGUUUUUGCAUUAUUUAGUAGAGAUGGGGUUUCACCACAUUGCCCAGGCUGGUCUUGAACUCUUGACGUCAAGUGAUCUGCCCGCCUCGGCCUCCAAAGGUGCUGGGAUUACAGGCAUGAGCCACUGCGCCCAGCCAAGAUUUUCUUGGAUUUUUUUCUCUGUCAUUAAGUGUAGUCUCUAUUUCUACCUGCUUUGUACUACAAACCAAUUUAAAUAAGCAUGCUGUCUUUCUCCAUAAAAACAUUAAACUGUAGAACAAUGUUUUUAUGGAGAAAAAGAGCUAAAGUCACAUGCUGGUGGAGCAUAAAACGCUCACUUGAAGAACACCUUGGUAAUGGCUCCAGCUAACUGUACCAUGACCUAAUCCUGUGGCUGGAACCUCUGGGGAGUCUUAUCCACCUCCCCAAAUCCAUUUGACAAGCUCAGGUCCAAUACCACUUCUUUCAUGGGCUAUUCUCUGAUCUUCUCAGAAUGUCUAUCUUCUAUUGAAUUUGCCACAAUAUUUUGUUUGUACUACUCUUGAGACAUCCCACACAACCUUGAAUUAUAAUUGCUCACAUGGGUGUCUCAGCAUUUAUUCUAGACCAUAAGAUACUUAAAAGGAGGAAUUGUGAUUUCUUUGACAGUUUUGUCUCUUAGAAUUUAAGGGUGAGGGUGCUUAAUAAGUAUUAGAAAUAACGGAUAAGUAAAAUAUUCAGUGCUAUUAAAAAUACUAUUAAAUCUCAACACCUCCAGGGGUUACAUAUCUGAAAAAAGAUAUCAUACAUAUCUAUAUAAAUUCUAAAAUAAAUUGAAAUAGUCCAUAUCAAAAACCCUGCUGGAGUAGGUAACUCUUCACAAUCGACUUCAAUUAUUCAUGAUAUAAUUUUUGCAGGCACAUCAAAAAUUGUAUGUUUAGAGGUUAGAGGAUGAAUCCUCUUACAGUUUUCAAACCAGUCUGUACUAGCUUGAAAUGUAAUGUUUCUUGCACUUGAAUUUUCCCUGCUUUGUGUCUGCCAGUCUUGGCCCAAUGCUUGGGUACUUUUUUUAUGUUAUUGUGGUGCUUACAGGUGUUUUUCCAGCUGUGUUUUUCUAUCCUGAGGUUACAUCGGAGUAUGACAUGAUCAAACCUCUUCUUUGCACCAUGUCACAGAACCACCUUAAUGGAAGAGUGGACAAUAACUAUUGUGGUUUUCUCCUAUUUCAGGUGAUGGAAUGGAACCAUGUGUGUACAAAAAGAUACAGGAAUGUACAUAUUCAGUUUGCAAUAUAAAAACAUACACUGUGAUUGGAGAGGGAUUACAACAUUCUAAUUGCAAUUUUUGUCAUUUAUUCAAUAAAUAUUUCCUGGCUGGGUAUGAUGGCUCAAAGUGCCUGUAAUCCCAGCACUUUGGGAGGCCAAAGCAGGCAAAUCACCUGAGGUCAGGAGUUUGAGACCAGCCUGGCCACCAUGGUGAAACCCCAUCUCUACUAAAAAUACACAAAUUAGCUGGGUGUGGUGGUGCAUGCCUGUAAUCUCAGCUACCUGGGAGGCUGAGGCAGGAGAAUUGCUUGAACUCGGGAGGCGGAGGUUGCAGUGAGCUGAGAUUGCACCACUGCACCCCAGCCUGGGCAACAGAGUGAGACUCUGUCUCAAAACAAACAAACAAACAAACAAACAAAUUCCUGAGUGCCUACCAUAUGCUGAUUAAACUGUUCUAGAUGUUGGAGAUGCAGCUAUGGACAAGACAAAUACAGUCUCUUCUCUCCAGGAAUUUACCUUCUAAUGGAGGAGAGAGACAAAAACAACUUUGUACAUAAACCUUUUCUGAUAGUCAUUAAGAAAAUAAAGCAACAUGGUGUCCAAAUUCUAGAUUGCUCAUUUUAAAGGCUAGGGUGCCUAAAACCACAAGGAACAUUUCAGAAUUAGUAACAUUCAUACUUCGUAGAGCUAUACUUAGGCUAAUAAAUGUUUGGUAUUGUUGCCUCCCCAACAGCCACCUCAGACCACCUCCUGACUCCAAGUUUCCCUGCUCAUCAAUCCAAAAUUUUGUUGAAUAUACUACUUCCCCACCCCCAAUGGAGCUUAAGGGUUAACCUGAACUCUCUAAACCAAUCAGGGCAUUCCUACUGUCUUUGAUCGUGAGUGUUGUAGGCAGAGACAUAUAACCCAAUCCUUGCUAAUGAGACUUGAGGUAGGACCCCAGCUUCCGGAGAGGUUGCCUGGCUCCUAAAAAGAGAAAGAUACCGGAAAAGAGAUGGACUCUUCUACCACUGGAAAUCAGAUGGUGUCCUGAGUGACAUAAGUGUACUUACAACAGCCAUUUUGCAACCAUAAAGAAGCCAGUGGGAAUACACAGGCUACGUGUCCUCGAAGGCACAGAAGAAAGAAGAGAGAAAACUAUAUUCUUGAUGACACAGUUGAGCUACAGAAUUGUCCAACCCCGGAGGUGCCCCACUUCGCGUUGUGGGAGAUAAUGCAUUUUCCUUGCUGUUUAAACCACUUUGAGCUGAGUUUUCUAUUACCAGCAGCCUAAAGCAUUUUGACAGAUAAAAGUAGAUACAAAUGCACAUAUAUAAUGAGCAUCCUGACUGAACGAUUAAAUGUGUAUGUAGGCAUGCAUUACCUCCCCACUCCAUUUAUGAUUGUCACAUUUAUUUUUACUUCAGGGAAAAGCAACUAUAGAAUUUAAAAAAUCAGGAUUGAAAACAAAUACCUGAAUUUCCUACAAUUAAAAAAUCAAUCCAUUAAGUAGUGGUAUUAUGCUAAAAUAAAAUGAAUGCUUAGAAAUUUGUUAAGUGUUUAUGAUGUAAUAAGACAUCAAAUAAACCAUUUUUCUUUAAGUUCUUUAAUAAAAAAAAUCUGAUGUGGAGUCCAGUCUUUCAUUUUUAUCACUGGAAUAAAUAGAGAAUAGUCAUUGCAAUCAAUUGCCUGUUUGUUUCCCCAGAG